Lolium rigidum is the source of this 3038-nucleotide long non-coding RNA. RefSeq lists it as uncharacterized. NCBI's taxonomy places the organism in Eukaryota, Viridiplantae, Streptophyta, Magnoliopsida, Poales, Poaceae. The record is from RefSeq and is a predicted model, not a curated record. The transcript is spliced from 3 exons.
CUACCCCAACUUGCUUGGGAAAAAGGCUUUGAUGUUGUUGUUGAUGUUGUUGUAAUAUUUUGGUUGGCCUAUUUGUUGGCCAACAUUGGCUAAAAAAAAUGAGCUAGAGUUGAUAGUGGAGCAUUGGCAAGCCAAAAAGUUGGCAACUAUCCAAACAAGAACCAAUCUUUUGGCCAUGACCAAAAAAUUGGUAGGGUAUGCCUUGGUAGCAAUCCAAACACGCCCUAAGGCCCCUGUUGUUUGUCAGCUAGCGGCAGGAAUAAGAAUUGGAUACAUAUUUCUGUUGUGGCAUGAGAAUAGCUGGAUUCACUACAUAUCAUUGUUUGUUUUAUGCUUGAUGCAGGUGGUUGAAUAGUUCAGUUGAUCAGACGAUCAGUAGGUUUUUUCGGCACCAGCCGCCAGGAUACCACCUUUUGAAUUCGUCUCCUAUAUGAAGUCCAGAGAAAAUUUAAAAUCAAUAAUUGAAUUUGCAUCUGGUUCUCUUAUCAGCACUUGGUGGUAUCAGUUGAACAGAGAACAGGGGUCAGGUAAGCACUAUGUCAGUCCUCACACUUAUUAUGACCUUUUUGCAAUUCCCUAAAAAUGAGUGUUCUGUAAUGGUUAUUUGACAAAUCAAGAAAAAAAAAAGGAAUGUAGGCGACAUGAAUGGAAACUGUGAAGUGGCACCUUGCUUUCAACAAAAAAGUUCAUUUUGUGUUCCCUAGUUUUAGCCUUUUAGGAUACAUACCAGUAAAAACAAAAGAAUGGUUAUGAGCCAGCUGUAGACGCGUCAAAGAAUAUCAAUAAAAACUAAAGCAAUACCUUGUCUAUACAUCAAAGUUUUCCUUGUCAGAUAUUUUGUGUUUUUUUUAACCAUAACUUUGGAUUUUGGGCAGAUGGAUAGUUUUGUAAUUUUGUUGGAACUCCCUGUGUUCCAUAAUAUAAGAUGUUAUUACAACCAAUAUACAAGCAAAUUGGUCGUAAUAAUAUCUUAUAUUAUGGGAUGGAGGGAGUACAAAAUAUUUAUGUGGCUCCUUGAAUUAGAUAUUCUUAUGACGUGAAGUAUUAUGCUGUGGUUUCUCCGACCAACUAGUUCGUCCUUUUGCUACAGGUAGCUUAAUUACACAUUUUCUGGAAUUGCUGCUUUCGAUUUUCUGCAGUUUCCUUGAUUCAGUAGAUUUGUGGUGUGCAUUAAUAUGUUGCGCUUGAUCAAUCAGUUUUUCUGCUCACAACAAUAGUUUAGGUCAAAAUUUAUUUAUCCAUGCAUUUUCUUACAUGGCAUUAUGUUUGAUAAAAUUGCAAUAACGAAGCAUCAUGUUAGUCCCUUUAUUAUUGUUAUAUACUUGUGUCGCAACUUUUUCUAGAUACCGAUGUAACUACACACUAAAAUGCAUCUAGAUACAUCCAUAUCUAGACAAAGUUGCGACAUUUAUUUUGGAACAGAGGUAGUAACUGUUACUACAUUUUAAGCUUAAAUGAUAUAUCCAGUGUACUAGUUUUUAUUCUUUUCCCUUUCGUGUUCUGUGAUUCUAUCCCAUUUUUGGUGCCUUCCUCCCAUCUUUUGCAUUUUCAGUUUGCACAUGAUGUUGGCAAGGUAAAUACCCGAUCACAUGGGUGCAUUACCUUGACCUUUUGCUUUGUUCACACCGCAUUACUAUUUGCUUAUGUUACUUUAUUCAGUUUAGAACUGUGCAGUCACAAGCAUAUCUUUAGUUUAGGUGAAUAGCCAUUGUAGACUGAAUCCCUGGGCUAAGAACAUUUAUCCCCUCACUCUAAGGCUGGUUUGUUUCAGCACUAUUAUCUAGAAAAGCACAAAUAAGAAUGCACUCGCUAGUGUCCAAGCCCUCUAAUAUGGUUUUUGAAGAUUCAGUUGAGUAAGCUAAGUUUCAUUGCAAAUAUUUCUAAUGGUUUAAUCUCUAGAAUGUUUCCAGAAUUCCAGCCAACUUGCUCUAAGGAUCCAAAGGAUUGUCCCCUGUUCGGUUAAGUAAGCUAAAUUCACUUUUUCACCAUUGUUUGUUGCUUUAUCCUCAAAAUCGGAUUUUUGAAAAGCAAUGUUUGAAUUAUCUUUAUAUUUGACUAACUGCCCUGCUGAUAUAACUAUUUGCUUUGGUGAAGAAGUGCGACCUUUAUUAUUUUCUUUUACUUAAAUUGCCAUUUUUCUAAUUAUCUUUUGACAGAAGCAAGGACUGUCUCUAGGUUUUUUUGAUAUCCUUUUUUCAUGUCGUUUUUUGGGAUAUAAUCAAGUCGGUGCAUUUUGUUAUUUUAUUCAAACUCUUCUUUGGACUUGCAUUGUUGUUGAAUCCUUGGUUGCUUGGCAUUGCAAGAAGCCGGAAUCUGUAACUGACCCAUCUGAGAUCUUGUGGGUCUAUGAAGGUGAGUGUCCGUUGGCAAAACAAGGCACGAGUUUGUCUUAUGUCAAACCCUCUAAUCAGCUGUUCCGGAAUUUCUUGAUGAAUAUAUAAAUGGAUAAAGUUACUCUACUUUCUAAUCCCUCAUGCUGCUGGUGCAGGCUGGUCAUGGCUUGCUGUUACUUCUUGUCAAUUCUUGGUGUGCCUAUGUCCUGAACUGAUAAGUAUAUUAAAGACUAUAGUGCAUCUUUUUGUCUUUGUUGUUCACUUAAUUCAACCUUUGUGAACCGAAAACUCUGAAGCCAGAGAGGCAAGCUAAAUGGCUCUCCUCAAGAUUACAAAAAGAGUCGAAGCUAUCCUUUUUUGACAGGGUUGAAGAUGCCAGGUUACUAACAAGGAACAAUCUCCACGUCUCACUGCAGGCUCUCGUAAAUGAUAUCCACUGAUGAUUAAAGUGGACAUGCUGGCGAGUGUCUACAAAACGAUCAGUGAUUAUGGGCGUCCAAAGGAAAUGUUGCCUGCUUUUGCCUAGGCGUAAGUGUAAUUCCUCUUGAUGAUGAAUGAUAAGCAAAAGUCUUGCUUUAGAUGAAAUAUAUCAAAAAUUUGAACCAAGUAAUAGCAAACUAUCCAAUACAAAUGUAGAAUUUGUAAUACACGUCUUACUUGUAAGACAAAUUGUAAGGUAAUCUGUAUACUGAACAUGUUUGUGUG